UGGGUAUGUAGCUUAAUAGGUAAAGCCUCAAUUUGUCGAGUUGGAAAAUGCGGGUUCGACCCCCGUCAUGCCCGU
RNAcentral lists this transfer RNA (75 nucleotides) under Allomyces macrogynus. RNAcentral describes it as "tRNA-Asp". It matches the Rfam family "tRNA". Rfam says of the family: Transfer RNA (tRNA) molecules are approximately 80 nucleotides in length. Their secondary structure includes four short double-helical elements and three loops (D, anti-codon, and T loops). The record is from RNAcentral. Lineage: Eukaryota; Fungi; Blastocladiomycota; Blastocladiomycetes; Blastocladiales; Blastocladiaceae.